UUGUUUGGCUUGCAAAUCAGAAUUUGAAAACAAGAUAGGAAGAAGAACUCAUGAAGCAAGUUACAUUUUCGCAACUAUUGAUACAGCUCCACUAAAUCAGCUUCUGUUUUGAAGGAGAAAAACGAGUUUGAAGUUGGGACAUGCAUGCUGAUUGUGUGUUAAAGAGUGGAUACGGGUUUGAUGAAGAUGGAGUGAAACUUUGACUAUGGUGAGGGUUCAAUGGCUGCAUGAUCAUCCUCUCAACCUCCUUUUUAGCAAGGUGUGGUUUAGUAGCUUUUGGUCAGAAGCAGGUUCGGACUGAAGACUUGGAAGUGGUGUUGGCUCGGAGACCUCGUCAGAUCUCUUUUCCGCUGUGCAGAUCCAUUGAAGAC
This is a long non-coding RNA of Vicia villosa (hairy vetch), 371 nucleotides long. RefSeq lists it as uncharacterized. The transcript has 3 exons. The record is from RefSeq and is a predicted model, not a curated record. Lineage: Eukaryota; Viridiplantae; Streptophyta; Magnoliopsida; Fabales; Fabaceae.